Molecule: long non-coding RNA, 616 nt
Organism: Beta vulgaris subsp. vulgaris (sugar beet)
Lineage: Eukaryota; Viridiplantae; Streptophyta; Magnoliopsida; Caryophyllales; Amaranthaceae
Exons: 3
Source: RefSeq, a predicted model, not a curated record
UAACCUGAAACUCCUCUCACUUUUUCUUAACCCUAGAUCUCUCUUCAGCCGUUUUACUUCUCAACUUUCAUCUCUCACCAUUUCUCUUUCCUCUCUCCAUGGUGACUCUUUUCUCUCUCUUUCUUCUUCGGCAACAAUAGCGAGUACCACCGACGGCGAAACUUUGUGCAACUGCAUUAGUAAACAAAUCAAAAUUCAGAAAAGGGAUGACAGAGAGUUUUGCCAAAAGCGCUUCGCCGCCAUCGUUGGAGUCGUUGGCCGCCACAUCAUUGGGGUCGUUGACCGCCGCUGCCGGAGUUGGGGGCUUUCAUUGCUGUCUCUUUCCUCUACCACACCACCCCGACCCGCAACCCCUGCCUCCGCCUCCCUGCCCAGCCGCAACCCCCUGCUCGUGACUUGCUUCAAUAAAUUUCCAGAAAGUUCUUCGAUUUUCAGAUCUGGUGGAGGAAGAGAAGAAAUUGCAGACCAAACUUCUAUAUUUCGAUCUUUUUAGAUAUGAUUUGUAUAAGUUUUUCAUUUUAGAUUUUUUUCUUCAUAUUAUUUGAACACAGAACAGUUGUAGAGAGAAAAGAAAUCAGGGUUUGGAAUAUGAAUGGUGGUGGGAUUGUUAUGUUAA